Molecule: ribosomal RNA, 570 nt
Filed under: Staphylococcus pettenkoferi
Lineage: Bacteria; Bacillati; Bacillota; Bacilli; Caryophanales; Staphylococcaceae
Description: bacterial SSU rRNA
Rfam family: Bacterial small subunit ribosomal RNA
Source: RNAcentral
UUUAUGGAGAGUUUGAUCCUGGCUCAGGAUGAACGCUGGCGGCGUGCCUAAUACAUGCAAGUCGAGCGAACAGACGGGGAGCUUGCUCCCCCGACGUUAGCGGCGGACGGGUGAGUAACACGUGGGUAACCUACCUAUAAGACUGGAAUAACUCCGGGAAACCGGGGCUAAUGCCGGAUAACAUGUGUGGACCGCAUGGUCCUACAGUGAAAGAUGGUCUUGCUGUCGCUUAUAGAUGGACCCGCGCCGUAUUAGCUAGUUGGUAAGGUAACGGCUUACCAAGGCAACGAUACGUAGCCGACCUGAGAGGGUGAUCGGCCACACUGGAACUGAGACACGGUCCAGACUCCUACGGGAGGCAGCAGUAGGGAAUCUUCCGCAAUGGGCGAAAGCCUGACGGAGCAACGCCGCGUGAGUGAUGAAGGCCUUCGGGUCGUAAAACUCUGUUAUUAGGGAAGAACAAAUGUGCAAGUAACUAUGCACGCCUUGACGGUACCUAAUCAGACAGCCACGGCUAACUACGUGCCAGCAGCCGCUGUAAUACGUAGGUGGCAAGCGUUAUCCGGGAGU